This 74-nucleotide transfer RNA is filed under the name Candidatus Kentrum sp. G. RNAcentral's name for it is "Candidatus Kentron sp. G tRNA_Pro_TGG". It matches the Rfam family "tRNA". Rfam says of the family: Transfer RNA (tRNA) molecules are approximately 80 nucleotides in length. Their secondary structure includes four short double-helical elements and three loops (D, anti-codon, and T loops). Further hydrogen bonds mediate the characteristic L-shaped molecular structure. tRNAs have two regions of fundamental functional importance: the anti-codon, which is responsible for specific mRNA codon recognition, and the 3' end, to which the tRNAs corresponding amino acid is attached (by aminoacyl-tRNA synthetases). tRNAs cope with the degeneracy of the genetic code in two manners: having more than one tRNA (with a specific anti-codon) for a particular amino acid; and 'wobble' base-pairing, i.e. permitting non-standard base-pairing at the 3rd anti-codon position. Lineage: Bacteria; Pseudomonadati; Pseudomonadota; Gammaproteobacteria. The record is from RNAcentral.
CGGGGUAUGGCGCAGUCUGGUAGCGCACCUGCUUUGGGAGCAGGGGGUCGUGGGUUCAAAUCCCCCUACCCCGA